RNAcentral lists this ribosomal RNA (253 nucleotides) under uncultured bacterium. RNAcentral describes it as "partial 16S ribosomal RNA". It matches the Rfam family "Bacterial small subunit ribosomal RNA", at positions 524 to 776 of the family's 1533-position model. The record is from RNAcentral.
GACAGAGGGUGCAAACGUUGUUCGGAAUUACUGGGCGUAAAGGGCGCGUAGGCGGCCUUCUAAGUCGAACGUGAAAUCCCCGGGCUCAACCCGGGAACUGCGUCCGAUACUGGGAGGCUUGAAUCCGGGAGAGGGGUGUGGAAUUCCAGGUGUAGCGGUGAAAUGCGUAGAUAUCUGGAGGAACACCGGUGGCGAAGGCGGCAUCCUGGACCGGUAUUGACGCUGAGGCGCGAAAGCCAGGGGAGCAAACGGG